This 430-nucleotide ribosomal RNA is filed under the name uncultured prokaryote. RNAcentral's name for it is "bacterial SSU rRNA". It matches the Rfam family "Bacterial small subunit ribosomal RNA", at positions 355 to 776 of the family's 1533-position model. The record is from RNAcentral. RNAcentral also lists the same sequence under 1 other name.
UAGGGAAUUUUCGGCAAUGGGGGAAACCCUGACCGAGCAAUGCCGCGUGAAUGAAGAAGGUCUUCGGACUGUAAAAUUCUGUUAUUUGUGGAAGAAAGGUAGUUGGAGGAAAUGCCAAUUACUUGACGGUACCAAAUGAGAAAGCCCCGGCUAACUAUGUGCCAGCAGCCGCGGUAAUACAUAGGGGGCGAGCGUUAUCCGGAAGUAUUGGGCGUAAAGCGUGCGUAGGUGGUCAGUUAAGUCUGGCGUGAAAUUCCCUGGCUUAACCAGGGGGGGUCGUUGGAAACUGGCUGACUUGAAUCCAGAAGGGGUAAGUGGAAUUCCAUGUGUAGCGGUAAAAUGCAUAGAGAUAUGGAGGAACACCAGUGGCGAAGGCGGCUUACUGGGCUGGAAUUGACACUGAGGCACGAAAGCGUGGGUAGCAAACAGG